GAGGUUCGGGCGCCCAGGGCCCCUAGCUCUCCCGGGGUUUUCCUGCCGCAGCCUUGGGGGCAGCCUGUUUCGGGGGAAAGCAUCUUCCCCGAGAACUCUCGGGUUGACCUUCAGCUCGGCCAGGCCGCCCCUGGGGACCCUUCCCGGCCCCGCAGAGCCCACUUAGCUCUCGUUCCCGGACCCAGCACAGAGGUCAGGAGGUUUCAUCCCUUGCCCUGUCGUCUGGUGGGGGUGGGGGGUGGGGGUGGCCCGAAGCCCACCUCCUGCCCCGCGGUAAGGACGGGGCACGGGCCUGGGAGGCACCAGACACGAGGAAGGUCGCUUGCAUCUGCCCCUGGAGACGGGACCUGGGUGUUGACUGGGGACAGGGGUGGCCAGGGGGGCUUCUCACACCGGGAGGAAACUGUCGUCCCUGCAACCGGUAAGCAGGACCCUGAAGGACACGGAGCAGGGGAGAGCGGCGGCUCACAGGACAGGCCCGGGCUGGGGGAGAGGCCCUGCGGGGGGUGGGGGGGCGGGUGCAGGUCAGUGGGACUCCAUCAGCACCUCCCGGGCUCCUCCCGUGAAGGUGCCUCCAUAGGGGCUGUGGCUCCCCCACCUGCCCCAGCCUGCGGGGUCCCUCCACCCUCUGCGGGGUCCCUCCCUCCUCUGCAGGGUCCCUCCCUCCUCUGCGGGGUCCUUCCAUCCUCUGUGGGGUCCCACCAUCCUCUGCGGGAUCCCUCCACCCUCUGCGGGGUCCCUCCAUCUUCUGUGGGGUCCCUCCACCCCCAUUCCAACCAGCCCCAGCCUGCGGGGUCCCUUACCCUCUGCGGGGUCCCUCCACCCUCUGCGGGGUCCCUCCAUCCUCUGUGGGGUCCCACCAUCCUCUGCAGGGUCCCUCCAUCCUCUGCGGGGUCCCUCCACCCCCAUCCCAACCAGCCCCAGCCUGCGGAGUCCCUUACCCUCUGCGGGGUCCCUCCACCCUCUGCAGGGUCCCUCCACCCUCUGCGGGGUCCCUCCACCCUCUGCAGGGUCCCUCCAUCCUCUGCGGGGUCCCUUCACCCCCAUCCCAACCAGCCCCAGCCUGCGGAGUCCCUUACCCUCUGCGGGGUCCCUCCACCCUCUGCGGGGUCCCUCCAUCCUCUGUGGGGUCCCACCAUCCUCUGCGGGGUCCCUCCACUCUCUGCGGGGUCCCUCCACCUUCUGUGGGGUCCCUCCACCCUCUGCGGGGUCCUUCCAUCCUCUGUGGGGUCCCUCCACCCUCAUCCCUCAGGCCUGAGAAGCCCGAGAGGUCUGUCUUUAUAA
This 1284-nucleotide long non-coding RNA is filed under the name Canis lupus familiaris (dog). RNAcentral describes it as "lncRNA (ENSCAFG00030023416.1)". Lineage: Eukaryota; Metazoa; Chordata; Mammalia; Carnivora; Canidae. The record is from RNAcentral.